This 463-nucleotide ribosomal RNA is filed under the name uncultured bacterium. RNAcentral describes it as "bacterial SSU rRNA". It matches the Rfam family "Bacterial small subunit ribosomal RNA", at positions 30 to 506 of the family's 1533-position model. The record is from RNAcentral.
UUGAACGCUGGCGGAAUGCUUUACACAUGCAAGUCGAGCGGCAGCGCGGGGGCAACCCUGGCGGCGAGCGGCGGACGGGUGAGUAACGCGUAGGCAACCUGCCCCAUACAGAGGGAUAGCCUCGGGAAACCGGGAUUAAAACCUCAUAACGCCAAGAGUUCACAUGGACACUUGGUCAAAGAUUUAUCGGUAUGGGAUGGGCCUGCGUCUGAUUAGCUAGUUGGUAAGGUAACGGCUUACCAAGGCAACGAUCAGUAGCCGACCUGAGAGGGUAAUCGGCCACAUUGGAACUGAGACACGGUCCAAACUCCUACGGGAGGCAGCAGUGGGGAAUAUUGCACAAUGGGCGAAAGCCCGAUGCAGCAACGCCGCGUGAGCGAUGAAGGCCUUUGGGUCGUAAAGCUCUGUCCUUGGGGAAGAAAAAAAUGACGGUACCCUUGGAGGAAGCCCCGGCUAACUACGU